AAGUCGUAACAAGGUUUCCGUAGGUGAACCUGCGGAAGGAUCAUUAGCGAGAACCCGUGGUAGACGCAAGUCUGAGCACGAGUGCGCCAUCCUUGUGUUGUGUGUGUUGCCUGUGCACCUGACAAUGUCUGACAAUGUCUGACAGCGUCUGUGUGCACACGCGCAUUUUCACCCAUUAUUCCCAUUUAUCUAAUCCAACUGCUCAUACUGAGCACAAACAACCGAAAACUGCCAGCAAUGGAUCACUCGGUUCUC
This 255-nucleotide unclassified non-coding RNA is filed under the name fungal sp. RNAcentral describes it as "partial internal transcribed spacer region". The stretch from base 1 to 46 matches the Rfam family "Eukaryotic small subunit ribosomal RNA", at positions 1786 to 1831 of the family's 1831-position model. The record is from RNAcentral. Lineage: Eukaryota; Fungi.